GGGACCUUCGGGCCUUGCGCUAUCAGAUGAGCCUAGGUCGGAUUAGCUAGUUGGUGGGGUAAUGGCUCACCAAGGCGACGAUCCGUAACUGGUCUGAGAGGAUGAUCAGUCACACUGGAACUGGGACACGGUCCAGACUCCUACGGGAGG
RNAcentral lists this ribosomal RNA (150 nucleotides) under uncultured bacterium. Its description in RNAcentral is "partial 16S ribosomal RNA". It matches the Rfam family "Bacterial small subunit ribosomal RNA", at positions 195 to 348 of the family's 1533-position model. The record is from RNAcentral.